This 497-nucleotide ribosomal RNA is filed under the name uncultured bacterium. RNAcentral's name for it is "partial 16S ribosomal RNA". It matches the Rfam family "Bacterial small subunit ribosomal RNA", at positions 28 to 507 of the family's 1533-position model. The record is from RNAcentral.
GAUGAACGCUGGCGGCGUGCCUAAUACAUGCAAGUCGAGCGAACAGACGAGGAGCUUGCUCCUCUGACGUUAGCGGCGGACGGGUGAGUAACACGUGGAUAACCUACCUAUAAGACUGGGAUCACUUCGGGAAACCGGAGCUCAUACCGGAUAAUAUAUUGAACCGCAUGGUUCAAUAGUGAAAGCCGGUUUUGCUGACACUUAUAGAUGGAUCCGCGCCGCAUUAGCUAGUUGGUAGGGUAACGGCUUACCAAGGCAACGAUGCGUAGCCGACCUGAGAGGGUGAUCAGCCACACUGGAACUGAGACACGGUCCAGACUCCUACGGGAGGCAGCAGUAGGGAAUCUUCGGCAAUGGGCGAAAGCCUGACGGAGCAACGCCGCGUGAGUGAUGAAGGUCUUCGGAUCGUAAAACUCUUUUAGUAGGGAAGAACAGAUGUGUAAUUAACUAUGCACGUCUUGACGGUACCUAAUCAGAAAGCCACGGCUAACUACGUG